AUCUUGACCUCAGAUCAGGCAAGGCUACCCGCUGAAUUUAAGCAUAUUAAUAAGCGGAGGAAAAGAAACUAACAAGGAUUCCCCCAGUAACGGCGAGUGAAGCGGGAAUAGCUCAAAUUUGAAAUCUCCGACGCUUGCGUCGGCGAGUUGUAGUUGCGAGAAGCACUUUCUAGGCGGAUCGGUCGUGCCUAAGUUGCUUGGAACAGUACGUCACAGAGGGUGACAACCCCG
Molecule: ribosomal RNA, 231 nt
Filed under: Bernardpora stutchburyi
Lineage: Eukaryota; Metazoa; Cnidaria; Anthozoa; Scleractinia; Poritidae
Description: partial 28S rRNA
Rfam family: Eukaryotic large subunit ribosomal RNA
Source: RNAcentral